RNAcentral lists this ribosomal RNA (443 nucleotides) under uncultured Gemmata sp. Its description in RNAcentral is "bacterial SSU rRNA". It matches the Rfam family "Bacterial small subunit ribosomal RNA", at positions 8 to 486 of the family's 1533-position model. The record is from RNAcentral. Lineage: Bacteria; Pseudomonadati; Planctomycetota; Planctomycetia; Gemmatales; Gemmataceae.
AGAGUUUGAUCAUGGCUCAGAACGAACGUUGGCGGCGUGGAUUAGGCAUGCAAGUCGGGGGUGCCAGCAAUGGCAACCGGCGUAAGGGGCAGUAAUGUGUGGGUACCUACCUCGGGGUCCGAGAUAGCCAUCAGAGAUGGUGGGUAAUACCGGAUGACCUCGUGAGAGCAAAGAUUUAUCGCCCGGAGAGGGGCCCACAUGAUAUUAGCUAGUUGGCGGGGUAAUGGCCCACCAAGGCUUAGAUGUCUAGCGGGUGUGAGAGCACGACCCGCGCCACUCGCACUGAGACACUGGCGAGACACCUACGGGUGGCUGCAGUCGAGGAUCUUCGGCAAUGGGGGCAACCCUGACCGAGCGACGCCGCGUGUGCGACGAAGGCCUUCGGGUUGUAAAGCACUGUCGAGGGGGAGAAAAGCCCGCAAGGGUGUGAUCUUCCCUGAGAG